AAGUCGUAACAAGGUUUCCGUAGGUGAACCUGCGGAAGGAUCAUUAUUGAGUCCAUUCAUAUUCGUGAACCAAAUUUGCUUGGCUCCUGUUAAGGGGGCCGAAUUUUAACACCAUUUGAUUUGUCUGACUGAAAUUAUUAAAAAUUUAAAA
Molecule: unclassified non-coding RNA, 151 nt
Filed under: plant metagenome
Description: partial contains small subunit ribosomal RNA and internal transcribed spacer 1
Rfam family: Eukaryotic small subunit ribosomal RNA (bases 1-46)
Source: RNAcentral